GCAAGUCGUGCGAGAAAGUUCUUCGGAUAUGAGUAGAGCGGCGGACGGGUGAGUAACGCGUAGGAAUCUACCUAGUAGAAGGGGAUAGCCCGGGGAAACCCGGAUUAAUACCGUAUACCUCCUUCGGGAGAAAGAAGGCCUCUCUUUGAAGCUUUCGCUAUUAGAUGAGCCUGCGUAAGAUUAGCUUGUUGGUGAGGUAAAGGCUCACCAAGGCGACGAUCUUUAGCUGGUCUGAGAGGACGAUCAGCCACAUUGGGACUGAGACACGGCCCAGACUCCUACGGGAGGCAGCAGUGGGGAAUAUUGGACAAUGGGCGCAAGCCUGAUCCAGCCACACCGCGUGUGUGAAGAAGGCCUUCGGGUUGUAAAGCACUUUAAGCAGGGAGAAAAAGUUAUAAGUUAAUACCUUAUAACCCUGAUGUUACCUGCAGAAUAAGCACCGGCUAAUUCCGUGCCAGCAGCCGCGGUAAUACGGAAGGUGCAAGCGUUAAACGGAAUUACUGGGCGUAAAGCGCGCGUAGGUGGUUUGUUAAGUUGGAUGUGAAAGCCCUGGGCUCAACCUAGGAACUGCAUCCAAAACUAACUCACUAGAGUAUGAUAGAGGGAGGUAGAAUUCAUAGUGUAGCGGUGGAAUGCGUAGAUAUUAUGAAGAAUACCAGUGGCGAAGGCGGCCUCCUGGAUCUGUACUGACACUGAGGUGCGAAAGCGUGGGUAGCGAACAGGAUUAGAUACCCUGGUAGUCCACGCCGUAAACGAUGACAACUAGCUGUUGGGAGACU
RNAcentral lists this ribosomal RNA (779 nucleotides) under uncultured marine bacterium. RNAcentral describes it as "bacterial SSU rRNA". It matches the Rfam family "Bacterial small subunit ribosomal RNA", at positions 57 to 832 of the family's 1533-position model. The record is from RNAcentral.